AAAAUUCUUUUAAAUCCUACAUUUAAAAAUAUUUUCUUUUAACCCUUAGGCAUAUUAUUUUUAAUCUUUUAGCACCUACAUAUAUUAUUUUAAUUCUGGCCGGAAGUAAAAAAAAUUUAAAUGAUAUGUGUAAAGAUUAAAAAUGAUGUUUAAAACUUUAGGGUUUAAAAUGAUUUUUUAUAAAUACAGGGAGUUUAACUAAUGAAUAACUAAAACUAUUUUCUAUUAUAAAAACAAUGUCUCUUAUAUUAUUUUUGUUCUAAGACUGGCACCUAUAAUAAUUUUUUAGUUAAAAGAUAUUUUUUGUCCUAUAAAUAUAUUAAAGUUCGUUUUUCAUUCCUGUAAAAAUUUUCAUCAGUAUAUAUAAACCUACAUAACAUUUUUUAAUUUAAAUUUCAAAAUAUAAAUUAUGAGAAUUAAAAAUUAUCAUAAAUUACAAGGAUAAAAAAUAAAAUAAAAAAAAACAAAAUAUGAUUUAUGACGGUUAAAAGUAGUCACACAUUACAUAAAAAAUUUAAAAAAAUGCAUGAAUUGAACCACCUCUCUCUCCAUCUCCCUGGACAUCAAAACAACAACAAGGGCUAUCACAAAAGAACCCACACACUUACACUCACAUAUCCCACCCACCAAACCCAUAAAUCCAAAUUCAAAUCGAAACCACUCUUUUCCCACCACCCCUACCCCCAGCAACAACAACAUUUUGGACCUCUUCCUCCACUAUCGCAAACCCACCCCCCCACCACAAAACAACAAGAUCUGAGCAAGAACAAGAAUCAAGAACACAAAUAGAUAUGAACGCACAACAACGAGAAUCAAGAACAAGAACAAAUCUCGGAGAAGUCGAGGAGGUAGAUGAAGUAGGCAAUGACUGAGAAAAUGUCUACGGCCUCCUUAUUCUCUUGUUUGCACUUCUUGGCCUCGACCUCCUUGUCGCGACGCUGAGGGAGUUGGUGUUUCUGUUGGAAGUGCUACUUGAGGUGUGAAGGGGUAUUUUCGUUGAAGGAGGCGCCGUCGUCAGAAGUCAUUGCAGGUGGAGGAAGGGAAGGGUGUGAGAAAGAGAAAGAGGAAAAAAAGGGAAAGAGAAAAAAAGAAGCUAAUACAUGUCUUGCUUUUAGUGCACAAACAUAUGCAUGUAGGUUUGGAAUCACCCAACCCUUGUUCUGAAUAAAAAAAAUAACAUUAUAAUUUUAUAGGGACAAAAAACAGAUAAAAAGUUUU
This 1218-nucleotide long non-coding RNA is filed under the name Glycine max (soybean). RNAcentral's name for it is "long non-coding RNA (GMAX_LNC002854)". Lineage: Eukaryota; Viridiplantae; Streptophyta; Magnoliopsida; Fabales; Fabaceae. The record is from RNAcentral.